GUAGGUGGCAAGCGUUGUCCGGAAUUAUUGGGCGUAAAGCGCGCGCAGGCGGUUCUUUAAGUCUGAUGUGAAAGCCCACGGCUCAACCGUGGAGGGUCAUUGGAAACUGGAGAACUUGAGUACAGAAGAGGAAAGCGGAAUUCCACGUGUAGCGGUGAAAUGCGUAGAGAUGUGGAGGAACACCAGUGGCGAAGGCGGCUUUCUGGUCUGUAACUGACGCUGAGGCGCGAAAGCGUGGGGAGCAAACAGGAUUAGAUACCCUGGUAGUCCACGCCGUAAACGAUGAGUGCUAAGUGUUAGGGGGUUUCCGCCCCCCUUAGUGCUGCAGCUAACGCAUUAAGCACUCCGCCCUGGGAGUACGACCGCAAGGUUG
Molecule: ribosomal RNA, 373 nt
Filed under: uncultured organism
Description: partial 16S ribosomal RNA
Rfam family: Bacterial small subunit ribosomal RNA
Source: RNAcentral